GUGUUAAUAGUAUAUAAAUUAUUACAUUAACUUUUCGUGUUAAAAAAAUGAACCAUUUAACACA
This 64-nucleotide transfer RNA is filed under the name Neoamphitrite affinis. RNAcentral's name for it is "tRNA-Glu". The record is from RNAcentral. Lineage: Eukaryota; Metazoa; Annelida; Polychaeta; Terebellida; Terebellidae.